CCUACGGGAGGCAGCAGUGGGGAAUAUUGGUCAAUGGACGAGAGUCUGAACCAGCCAAGUAGCGUGAAGGAUGACUGCCCUAUGGGUUGUAAACUUCUUUUAUAUGGGAAUAAAAUGUUCCACGUGUGGGAUUUUGUAUGUACCAUAUGAAUAAGGAUCGGCUAACUCCGUGCCAGCAGCCGCGGUAAUACGGAGGAUCCGAGCGUUAUCCGGAUUUAUUGGGUUUGAAGGGAGCGUAGGUGGAUUGUUAAGUCAGUUGUGAAAGUUUGCGGCUCAACCGUAAAAUUGCAGUUGAAACUGGCAGUCGUGAGUACAGUAGAGGUGGGCGGAAUUCGUGGUGUAGCGGUGAAAUGCUUAGAUAUCACGAAGAACUCCGAUUGCGAAGGCAGCUCACUGGACUGCAACUGACACUGAGGCUCGAAAGUGUGGGUAUCAAACAGGAUUAGAUACCCUAGUAGUC
RNAcentral lists this ribosomal RNA (460 nucleotides) under uncultured bacterium. RNAcentral's name for it is "partial 16S ribosomal RNA". It matches the Rfam family "Bacterial small subunit ribosomal RNA", at positions 338 to 795 of the family's 1533-position model. The record is from RNAcentral.